RNAcentral lists this ribosomal RNA (253 nucleotides) under uncultured bacterium. Its description in RNAcentral is "partial 16S ribosomal RNA". It matches the Rfam family "Bacterial small subunit ribosomal RNA", at positions 524 to 776 of the family's 1533-position model. The record is from RNAcentral.
UACGGAGGGGGCUAGCGUUGUCCGGAUUUACUGGGCGUAAAGAGCGCGCAGGCGGUCGAUCAAGUCGAGUGUGAAAGCCCCCGGCUCAACUGGGGAGGGUCAUUCGAUACUGAUCGACUCGAAGGCAGGAGAGGGUAGUGGAAUUCCCGGUGUAGUGGUGAAAUGCGUAGAGAUGUGGAGGAACACCGAUGGCGAAGGCAGCCUCCUGGGCCAACACUGACGCUCAUGCACGAAAGCGUGGGGAGCAAACAGG